This 253-nucleotide ribosomal RNA is filed under the name uncultured bacterium. RNAcentral describes it as "partial 16S ribosomal RNA". It matches the Rfam family "Bacterial small subunit ribosomal RNA", at positions 524 to 776 of the family's 1533-position model. The record is from RNAcentral.
UACAGGGGGUGCAAACGUUGCUCGGAAUCAUUGGGCGUAAAGCGCACGUAGGCGGUCUGUUAUGUCGGAUGUGAAAGCCCUUGGCUCAACUGAGGAAGUGCAUCCGAAACUGGCAGGCUAGAGUACUAAAGAGGAUCGCGGAAUUCCCGGUGUAGAGGUGAAAUUCGUAGAUAUCGGGAGGAACACCGGUGGCGAAGGCGACUACCUGGCCUGUUCUUGACGCUGAGGCGCGAAAGCUAGGGGAGCAAACGGG